Bos taurus (domestic cattle) is the source of this 1708-nucleotide long non-coding RNA. The record is from Ensembl. NCBI's taxonomy places the organism in Eukaryota, Metazoa, Chordata, Mammalia, Artiodactyla, Bovidae.
GGGGCCUUGAAACAUGCAGUAAUAGCUUGAUCUCUGGAAGGAAUGGUCAUCUGAAUUAAACGCACCCAUUCCAGUCCAUUUUAGUUCACUGAUUCCUAAAGUGUCGAUGUUCACUCUUUCCAUCUCCUGUUUGACCACUUCCAAUUUAUCUUGAUUCAUGGACCUAACAUUCCAGGUUUCUGUGCAGUAUUGUUCUUUACAGCGCUGGACUUUACUAUCAUCAUGGGUCACAUCCACAACUGGGCACUGUUUUCACUUUGGCUUCGUCUAGUCAUUGUUUCUGGAGUUAUUUCUCCAUUCUUCUCCAGUAGCGUAUUGGGCACCUACCGACCUGGGGAGUUCAUCUUUCAGUGUCAUAUCUUUUUGCCUUUUCAUACUGUUUAUGGGGAUCUCAAGGCAAGAAUACUGAAGGGGUUUGCCAUUCCCUUCUCCAGUGGACCACAUUUUGUCAGAACUCUCCACCAUGACCCAUCUGUCUUGGUGGCCCUACACGGCAUGGCUCAUAGUUUCAUUGAGUUAGACAAGUUGGGCAAAUUUAAUUCCAAUGACCAUUAUAUCAACUCUUGUGGGCAAGAAUCCCUUGGAAGGAAUGGAGUAGCCCUAUAGUCAACAAGAGUCCAAAGUGCAGUACUUGGGUGCAAUCUCAAAAACAACAGAAUGAUCUGUUUGUUUCUAAGGAAAACCAUUCAAUAUCACAGUAAUCCAAGUCUAUGCCCCAGGCACCAAUGCAAAAGAAGCUGAAGUUGAACAGUUCUAUGAUGACCUAUAAGACCUUCUAGAACUAACACCAAAAAAAGAUGUUCUUUUCAUCAUAGGGGACUGGAAUGCAAAAGUAGGAAAUCAAGAGACACCUGGAGUAACAGGCAAGUUUGGCCUUGGAGUACAAAAUGAAGCAGGCAAAGGCUAACAGUUUUGCCAAGAGAACACACUGGUCAUAGCAAACACCCUCAUCCAACAACACAAGAGAUGACUCCUCACAUAGACAUCAGUUCAGUUCACUUCAGUCGCUCAGUUGUGUCUGAAUCUUUGUGAUCCCAUGGACUGCAGCUCACCAGGCUUCCCUGUCCAUCACCAACUCCUGGAGCUUGCUCAAACUGAUGUCAAUCAAGUCAGUAAUGCCAUCCAAUAAUCUUAUCCUCUGUCAUCCCCUUGUCUUCCCGCCUUCAAUCUUUCCCAGCAUCAGGGUCUUUUUCAAUGAGUCAGUUUUUCACAUCAGGUAGCCAAAGUAUUGGAGUUUCAGCUUCAGCAUCAGUCCUUCCAAUGAAUAUUCAGGGUUGGCUUCCUUUAGGAUGGACUGGUUUGAUAUCCUUGAAGUCCAAGUGACUCUUUUUGUGACCCCAUGGACUAUUAUAUAGUCCAAGGAAUUCUCCACGCCAGAAUACUGGAAUGGGUAGCCUUUCCUUUCUCCAAGGGAUAUUCCCAACCCAGGGAUCAAACUCACAUCUCCCGUGUUGCAGGUGGAUUCUUUACCAGCUGAGUCACAAGGGAAGCCCCACAUAGAAAUCAGCUGAUGGUCAAUGGCGAAAUCAGAUUGAUUAAAAUCUUUGCAGCUAAAGAUGGAGAAGUUCUAUACAGUCAGCAAAAACAAGACCCAGAGCUGACUGUGGCUCAGAUCAUGAACUCCUUACUGCCAAAUUCAGACUUAAAUUGAAGAAAGUGGGGAACACUACUGGGCCAUUCAGGUACGACCUAAGUCAAAUCCCUUACA